UGUCGGUAGUAGAUACAAGGUCUUAGGCUCCGUUUGGCAGAGCUUUUGGAAGGGCAGAAAGUUUCAAAAGUAUUUUUAGAUGAAAUAAAAGUAUUUGAUAAAAAAUUAAAAAGCUGUUUUAACUUUGUCAGAAAAUUAAAAUAGUUUUUUAGAAGAAACUAGUUUGGAGCUUCUUCGGAGAAAGAUAUAUCAUAGUUUAGUAUGGGAGGAGCAGGGCAUCCGAGUUCGUUAUGGCGUCGAUAACUCAGAGUGGGGGAGCACGCUAUGAAAGUUAUGUGCUCAGUGUUGGGUGACUAAGGAUUACUUAUUGUUGGCACGAGUGGAUUGGUGCCCAUAAAGGGUGAAGAUCCAUCAGCUUGGGGCAGAGGAGUCAUGGGUGAAGAGUGUUCAUGAAUGCUAAAGCACUCGGGAUGCAUACAGAGUUGCAAGGCAAGCAU
This 437-nucleotide long non-coding RNA is filed under the name Phoenix dactylifera (date palm). RNAcentral's name for it is "long non-coding RNA (PDAC_LNC015363)". Lineage: Eukaryota; Viridiplantae; Streptophyta; Magnoliopsida; Arecales; Arecaceae. The record is from RNAcentral.